GACGAACGCUGGCGGCGUGCUUAACACAUGCAAGUCGAACGGAAAGGCCCUGCUUUUGUGGGGUGCUCGAGUGGCGAACGGGUGAGUAACACGUGAGUAACCUGCCCUUGACUUUGGGAUAACUUCAGGAAACUGGGGCUAAUACCGGAUAGGAGCUCCUGCUGCAUGGUGGGGGUUGGAAAGUUUCGGCGGUUGGGGAUGGACUCGCGGCUUAUGAGCUUGUUGGUGGGGUAGUGGCUUACCAAGGCUUUGACGGGUAGCCGGCCUGGGAGGUGGGACGGGGUCAAUAGGACUACGGUAGGCAGCAGUGGGGAACAUGAGGCACUAGGGGGGAGCCUGACACAACGGUGGGGAGUGUGUUGCGGCGGCCCUCCGGUCGGGAAGACCGUCUGGGUGGUAGGAACCGCAGUAGCCUAAUACCAUGCUGUUUUGACGUUAAUAAAUGAAUAAGCACCGGCUAACUUCGUG
RNAcentral lists this ribosomal RNA (468 nucleotides) under uncultured bacterium. Its description in RNAcentral is "partial 16S ribosomal RNA". It matches the Rfam family "Bacterial small subunit ribosomal RNA", at positions 28 to 507 of the family's 1533-position model. The record is from RNAcentral.